GGACGAACCCUUGGAGAGAGCCAUCGCGAUUAACGCAGAAUGGACGCCGAAGGCGCAAAAGAGCGGUGUGAAAUUUCACCGUUUUUCAAACGCUCAGGCAAAAGGACAGGGGCAAGAGA
This is a non-coding RNA of Avibacterium paragallinarum JF4211, 119 nucleotides long. The record is from Rfam. Lineage: Bacteria; Pseudomonadati; Pseudomonadota; Gammaproteobacteria; Pasteurellales; Pasteurellaceae.